GAUGAACGCUGGCGGCGUGCCUAAUACAUGCAAGUCGAGCGAACGGACCAGACGCUUGCUUCACUGAUGUUACCGGUGGAUGGGUGGGUAACAAGUGGCUAAUCUCCCUAUAAGACUGCGAUAACUUCGGGAAUCCGGCGCUAUUACCGGAUGAUAUUUUGAACCGUAUUGUUUAAAAGUGCAAGAGGGUAUUGUUGUCAUGCAUAGAUGGAUCCGCGCUGCAUUAUCUAGUUGGUACGGUAACGGCUUACCAAGGCAACGAUGCAUAGCCGACCUGAGAGGGUGAUCGGCCACACUGGAACUGAGACACGGUCCGGACUCCUACGGGAGGCAGCAGUAGGGAAUCUUCCGCAAUGGGCGAAAGCCUGACGGAGCAACGCCGCGUGAGUGAUGAAGGUCUUCGGAUCGUAAAACUCUGUUAUUAGGGAAUAACAUAUGUGUAAGUAACGGUGCACAUCUUGACGGUACCUAAUCAGAAAGCCACGGCUAACUACGUG
RNAcentral lists this ribosomal RNA (497 nucleotides) under uncultured bacterium. RNAcentral's name for it is "partial 16S ribosomal RNA". It matches the Rfam family "Bacterial small subunit ribosomal RNA", at positions 28 to 507 of the family's 1533-position model. The record is from RNAcentral.